Molecule: long non-coding RNA, 850 nt
Organism: Daucus carota subsp. sativus
Lineage: Eukaryota; Viridiplantae; Streptophyta; Magnoliopsida; Apiales; Apiaceae
Exons: 5
Source: RefSeq, a predicted model, not a curated record
CAUGUCGAAAAUAAAUGGUAUCUACUUCUAUAUAAUAAAGGAGAAUCAUGGACAAAAAGAACCAAAAUAAUAGUUGUGAAUUUACCAAAGUAACCCUUUUAAUUUUAAAAUAACAAAAAUGCCAGCUUCCAUUGUGUGUGAUCGUUUUAUCUACCCGUAUCUAUUCUUUAUUGCACUAACCUAACAUCUACCGGAAUACACAAGCGCAUCAGAUUCCGUAAACUCAUCCGCGGAAAAGAAUGGUGGAUUAUCCGUCACUUGAAACCAUAAUCCUAGACAUUGCCUAAAUCUUCAUGUCAGAAAAGAAAUGCUCUAAAACUCCUACCACAGCUACACGGCUAGACAAUGAAGAUUCUGGCGAAAGAAAGAUUUAGAGGAGAGUCCAGCGGUGACGGUGCUACGGCUGAAGGGCAUGGAAGCGGAGUUUGCCAGUCAGGGGUAGAGGCAAUGCUCCAGACACAUAUCAUUGAAUUUCUGAUGAUGAGAGCUCAACUAGCAUAUGUAUUUACUCUAAAGGAAGCCUGAUUACGUGUGUUGUAACUUGGUUUAUGAGGCCAGAUUCUGACAAUGUUUUAAAUCUGUAGUUGGAAAAGUACAUGUCGACUCAUUCGGAAACGGUUAAAGUCAUUCUAUUGUAUGAGUGUUGAACUUGCCUCUUCAAGAUUGGAUGUUGGUGGUUUAGAGUUGCUGCUCCCUCCUAUAUUGGCCUACUUUGUGGCAACCCAUAAACACAAUAAAAUCUCUUUAUAUUUUCUGAGUCUCUUGUAUGUAUGUCUCAAAAUAUGUAUCCUGUACUAUUAUCAAAAUUGAUUAUUACAGAUUGUCAACUAGGUAUGUGGAUUGGGAUAGA